CCUACGGGGGGCUGCAGUGGGGGAUAUUGCACAAUGGGGGGAACCCUGAUGCAGCGACGCCGCGUGGGUGAAGGAGCGUUUCGGCGCGUAAAGCCCUAUCGGCAGGGAAGAAGGAGGACGGUACCUGACUAAGAAGCCCCGGCUAACUACGUGCCAGCAGCCGCGGUAAUACGUAGGGGGCAAGCGUUAUCCGGAUUUACGGGGUGUAAGGGGGGCGCAGACGGCAGCGCAAGCCAGGAGUGAAAGCCCGGGGCCAAACCCCGGGACUGCUCUUGGAACUGCGCGGCUGGAGUGCAGGAGGGGGAGGCGGAAGUCCUGGUGUAGCGGUGAAAUGCGUAGAUAUCAGGAGGAAC
RNAcentral lists this ribosomal RNA (353 nucleotides) under uncultured bacterium. RNAcentral describes it as "partial 16S ribosomal RNA". It matches the Rfam family "Bacterial small subunit ribosomal RNA", at positions 338 to 707 of the family's 1533-position model. The record is from RNAcentral.